CACGCGGUCGUCUUGGCGGCGUUCGUCCCUCGGGUUGACAGCUGAGCCUCUGGGGUUAAGGACGCAACUGGACUUGGGUCGGCUUAGAAUUAGUCCGCCGGGACUCGGCUCUCCGCCUCCCUCAGCUGUGGAGGCGUGGGGAUUGGGGCUCCUUCGCUGGUGGAAGUGAAAUCAUUCCUGCCUUGGAACCCAGGGAUGUCCCAGCCGCCCAAAUAACCGCUCCCUUGGGGCGCCGAAAGAAUGACCUAUGCACUGGAAGUGGCAGAACAAAAAUGGAUGACAGGGAGUUGAUAGCCAAGGUAAAUGAGGACCUAGUGGGAGAGCACCUAGUUGCCCUUGAUGAAUUCAAAUGGAUGCCCAGAUGAAGUACAUCCUCAGAGAUUAGACAACGUAUACUUCAUAUGUAGAACAUCAACCUAAAGCCUUGUUUACCUGAUGGAAGAAUGGUUAUAAAAGAUCUAUUGGAAGCCAUGUAGGCCUCCCUUUCCUAUGGAUGAGAAAAUUCCAGAAGGUACUAUACCUUACAGCUUUGCAUCAUUGGGACAUUUGGUAAGCAAGCCUUGAGUACCUUCAUCUAAAAGCACUAGAGCAAGGCAAAGCCAAGGACAGAGUCUUGUGGCAUGCUUCUAGAGAUCUCCCUCCUGGAUGACAUCUACCCCAUAAUGAACAACACUCUUGGUACGUGUGAUCUGAUUCCCUGAAGCCUAUUUUACUGGCACCUGUUUAUCCAGGUCCCCCUGGCAUAUAAAGGAAUCGUGGAUAAUUGAGUGGACUAAAUGUUGUAGUUGCAUCUUGUCUAAUUACAGUAAUGUUGGUGCUGCUAAGCAAAUAAGGAAUGUUUAAAAUCCUUGUCCUGCUUUAUAGUCCUAUAUUCAAGUGCCAAACUUAAGUUUUGGGAUGGUGUGGAAAGGGUUGAAAAUACAAGAAACUCAGGAGGAGAGACUUGAUAUUUUAUAGUACUACAGGGAGGAGAAUGUGAGGAAAAACAAGCUUUUAGGAUUCCUUUAAAAUACAGAGAAAAAGAUUAAAAGUGAAAUUAUUACCCAAGUCAAUAAAAUAUUUUAAAAUACAAAUUUUUCAUUUCAUUUUAUUCUUAAAGCCUAUUUUUUUUUUUUUAAAUUAAAGGAACUGUCAGGGACAGAAGGGGUAAAAUGUUAAGUAUUUUAUGCUCUACUUAAAGGUAUUCCAAUUAUUUUAAAAGAAAAUAAUUUUUGCACCCCAUGGAGAAUUAGUUUUGCAAUGUCAGACUUAAAAAUAGUGUGAUGAAUGCAAUAAAACAAAGGCUUUUUUUUUUUUUUGCAUGGCACUAAUUUUAGGUUCAAAGAAGUUACUUUUGCAGUUAUAUUUUUUUAAGAAAAAAAUUUAGAUUUAAAAUUGUUUUCAAUAGUCAUGUCUUUAAAUUACAUUUAACAGGAUUAAAUCUAAUAAUGAUAAAUGUGCCAUGUAAUAAUUACUCAAUUUAGAUAAUACCAUUUGCUGCUACAGAUACAUGCUUAUUCAAAUGUUCUCUCUAAACAUAGAUAAUAACUAUUGUUCACCAGCUUAAAAAUAACACAACCUGAAUUUCAUGUUAAGAGGCUAGUUUUCUCUUUUGAACUUCUUAAUUUCUAAAAAUUUUAGUUGCUUCUAAAUGUCAGAUUUCUGAAGGAAGGAAAACCCCCAAAGAUUCUAUUAAAUUAGAAAACUGCACAUGAAAAUAUACCUGGAGUAGUAGGAUGUUAGAGAAAAUUUUUUUCUGACUGCAUUAUACAUGAAAGUCCCCAAAGUCUUAGUGAAAUUUUAAGCUUUAAAAGCAAAAGCAUAAAACUGCAUUGAUUUGGGAAGCUGUAUAUAUUGGUCUCUUUGAAAUCUAUAAAGUUAAAAAAAAUUAUUUCUGUACUACCAAAAUUAAGAUUGAAUUUUUUCCAGUUGUGAUUGGAAAAUUGUGACUUCUAAAAGUUCUAUUUUGUAUUUAAAAAAAAAAAUCUUAAUUUCCUUAUUGUGUGUCCCAUAUGGUUUUGCAUGCCAUGCAGAAAUAUUUCUAAGUGGAUUAAAUAUAUUCUACACAUAUGUAUUCUUGACUUUUAAAAGAGGUUAUCUAGGACUGUACUGAACUUGUCAUAAAAUAUUGGGGCCUGUUUGCAUUUGCCUCAUAGGUAAAGUUUAAGUCAAAUUUUAAGUAUGAAUUAACUUUAAUAAUUUGAUACAUGUUGUUAUGUUGAUUUUCUCUUAUCCCAAGACACAUAGAAAUGUAGUUAAGUUGCUAUAACUCUGGCACAUAAACACAGCAAUGUUGUUAUUGUUUAAUUUCAAAACAUUUGAUAGAUGACAAACUGUUUUUCCAUAUAGAAAAAAUAGGUUUAAACCUAGCAUUAAAAAAAAAAAAAAAAAAAAAAAAA
Sarcophilus harrisii (Tasmanian devil) is the source of this 2378-nucleotide long non-coding RNA. RefSeq lists it as uncharacterized. The transcript has 4 exons. NCBI's taxonomy places the organism in Eukaryota, Metazoa, Chordata, Mammalia, Dasyuromorphia, Dasyuridae. The record is from RefSeq and is a predicted model, not a curated record.